This is a non-coding RNA of Callorhinus ursinus (northern fur seal), 563 nucleotides long. NCBI's taxonomy places the organism in Eukaryota, Metazoa, Chordata, Mammalia, Carnivora, Otariidae. The record is from RefSeq and is a predicted model, not a curated record.
GGAGUCUUCUCCAGGGUCCUCAGCAUUGAUUUCUCACCCCAGAACUCUCCACGCUUGGUCCCGAGGCAUCUAUGUAGCUAAGAGAAAGUGUUUGGUCCGGUGUCCCAAAAAUCAAACCUAUUCAAGGUCCUACUUUUAUUCCCUUGGAGAUCCUGGCAUCAUGUCUACAAGCAUGACACAUGCUCAUGGGAAUGAGCAACAGAAAACGGCCGAUUUUACAGAGAUGAGUUUGGUACUACGAAAAUGGAUGAGACUUGAGACGGAAAAAUCCUGGAGAAAGGCAACUUCAUAAAAGCCUCUCAACUUUGUAUCUACCAGCUUCAGAUUUCAAAAAAGUAACGGCAUGAAGUUUGCAUCUAAGCCAGAACGAAAUAUCUGGUAUGCCCAUCCUCCACAGACAUCUCUACCGGUAGAAGAUCAACUUCAAGCCCUUAUUAAGCCUUUCCAGGGAUCACACUACCUUUUCUGUCCCUUAACCUGUUCUUAUGUUGUCAUCAGCUAGUUAUGCCACCUGGGGAGGGAAAGUGGGAAGACCACUAUGAGGUUAUUAUGUCAAUGUGAGA